GACGAACGCUGGCGGCGUGCUUAACACAUGCAAGUCGAACGCUGAAGCUCAGCUUGCUGGGUGGAUGAGUGGCGAACGGGUGAGUAACACGUGAGUAACCUGCCCUCUUCUUUGGGAUAACGCCCGGAAACGGGUGCUAAUACUGGAUAUUCACUGAUUCUCGCAUGGGGGUUGGUGGAAAGGUUUUUCCUGGUGGGGGAUGGGCUCGCGGCCUAUCAGCUUGUUGGUGGGGUGAUGGCCUACCAAGGCUUUGACGGGUAGCCGGCCUGAGAGGGUGACCGGUCACAUUGGGACUGAGAUACGGCCCAGACUCCUACGGGAGGCAGCAGUGGGGAAUAUUGCACAAUGGGCGAAAGCCUGAUGCAGCGACGCCGCGUGAGGGAUGGAGGCCUUCGGGUUGUAAACCUCUUUCGCUCAUGGUCAAGCCGCAGCUUUGGGUUGUGGUGAGGGUAGUGGGUAAAGAAGCGCCGGCUAACUACGUG
Molecule: ribosomal RNA, 482 nt
Filed under: uncultured bacterium
Lineage: Bacteria
Description: partial 16S ribosomal RNA
Rfam family: Bacterial small subunit ribosomal RNA
Source: RNAcentral